RNAcentral lists this ribosomal RNA (909 nucleotides) under uncultured bacterium. Its description in RNAcentral is "bacterial SSU rRNA". It matches the Rfam family "Bacterial small subunit ribosomal RNA", at positions 53 to 951 of the family's 1533-position model. The record is from RNAcentral.
ACAUGCAAGUCGAGCGGACAGAUGGGAGCUUGCUCCCUGAUGUUAGCGGCGGACGGGUGAGUAACACGUGGGUAACCUGCCUGUAAGACUGGGAUAACUCCGGGAAACCGGGGCUAAUACCGGAUGCUUGAUUGAACCGCAUGGUUCAAUUAUAAAAGGUGGCUUUUACCUACCACUUACAAAUGGACCCGCGGCGCAUUACCUAGUUGGUGAGGUAACGGCUCACCAAGGCAACAAUGCGUACCCAACCUGAAAGGGUGAUCGGCCACACUGGGACUGAAACACGGCCCAAACUCCUACGGGAGGCAGCAUUAGGGAAUCUUCCGCAAUGGACAAAAGUCUGACGGAGCAACGCCCCGUGAGUGAUGAAGGUUUUCGGAUCGUAAAACUCUGUUGUUAGGGAAAAACAAGUACCGUUCGAAUAGGGCGGUACCUUGACGGUACCUAACCAAAAAGCCACGGCUAACUACUUGCCACCACCCGCGGUAAUACGUAGGUGGCAAGCGUUGUCCGGAAUUAUUGGGCGUAAAGCGCGCGCAGGCGGUUUCUUAAGUCUGAUGUGAAAGCCCCCGGCUCAACCGGGGAGGGUCAUUGGAAACUGGGGAACUUGAGUGCAGAAAAGGAGAGUGAAUUCCACGUGUACCGGUGAAAUGCGUAAGAUGUGGAGGAACACCAUUGCCGAAGGCGACUCUCUGGUCUGUAACUGACGCUGAGGCGCGAAACCGUGGGGAGCGAACAGGAUUAAUACCCUGGUAUCCACCCCCGUAAACCAUGAUGCUAAUGUUAAAGGGUUUCCCCCCUUUAAUGCUGCAGCAACCCAUUACCACUCCCCCUGGGGGAGUACGGUCGCAAGACUGAACCUCAAGAAUUGAACGGGCGCCCCCCCAACCGUGAACAUGUUGUUUUAUU